This 325-nucleotide long non-coding RNA is filed under the name Rattus norvegicus (Norway rat). RNAcentral's name for it is "long non-coding RNA NONRATT027411". The record is from RNAcentral. Lineage: Eukaryota; Metazoa; Chordata; Mammalia; Rodentia; Muridae.
GAAAGAUCUCCCAUGCUCAUGGAUUGGCAGGAUUAAUUUAGUAAAAAUGGCCAUUUUACCAAAAGCAAUCUACAGAUUCAAUGCAAUCCCCAUCAAAAUACCAAUCCAAUUCUUCAAAGAGUUAGACAGAACAAUUUGCAAAUUCAUCUGGAAUAACAAAAAACCCAGGAUAGCUAAAGCUAUCCUCAACAAUAAAAGGACUUCAGGGGGAAUCACUAUCCCUGAACUCAAGCAGUAUUACAGAGCAAUAGUGAUAAAAACUGCAUGGUAUUGCUACAGAGACAGACAGAUAGACCAAUGGAAUAGAAUUGAAGACCCAGAAAUG